GAUGAACGCUGGCGGCGUGCCUAACACAUGCAAGUCGAACGAAGCAAUUUAACGGAAGUUUUCGGAUGGAAGUUGAAUUGACUGAGUGGCGGACGGGUGAGUAACGCGUGGGUAACCUGCCUUGUACUGGGGGACAACAGUUAGAAAUGACUGCUAAUACCGCAUAAGCGCACAGUAUCGCAUGAUACAGUGUGAAAAACUCCGGUGGUACAAGAUGGACCCGCGUCUGAUUAGCUAGUUGGUAAGGUAACGGCUUACCAAGGCGACGAUCAGUAGCCGACCUGAGAGGGUGACCGGCCACAUUGGGACUGAGACACGGCCCAAACUCCUACGGGAGGCAGCAGUGGGGAAUAUUGCACAAUGGGCGAAAGCCUGAUGCAGCGACGCCGCGUGAGUGAAGAAGUAUUUCGGUAUGUAAAGCUCUAUCAGCAGGGAAGAAAAUGACGGUACCUGACUAAGAAGCCCCGGCUAACUACAUGCCAGCAGCCGCAGUAA
This 495-nucleotide ribosomal RNA is filed under the name uncultured bacterium. Its description in RNAcentral is "partial 16S ribosomal RNA". It matches the Rfam family "Bacterial small subunit ribosomal RNA", at positions 28 to 523 of the family's 1533-position model. The record is from RNAcentral.